AGUACUCGAGUGGCGAACGGGUGAGUAACACGUGGGUAAUCUGCCCUGCACUCUGGGAUAAGCCUGGUAAACUGGGUCUAAUACUGGAUAUGACCUUUCUCCUUAUGGGGUUUGGUGGAAAGUUUUUCGGUGUAGGAUGAGCCCGCGGCCUAUCAGCUUGUUGGUGGGGUGAUGGCCUACCAAGGCGACGACGGGUAGCCGGCCUGAGAGGGUGAUCGGCCACAUUGGGACUUAGAUACGGCCCAG
This 246-nucleotide ribosomal RNA is filed under the name uncultured Actinomycetales bacterium. Its description in RNAcentral is "partial 16S ribosomal RNA". It matches the Rfam family "Bacterial small subunit ribosomal RNA", at positions 86 to 334 of the family's 1533-position model. Lineage: Bacteria; Bacillati; Actinomycetota; Actinomycetes; Actinomycetales. The record is from RNAcentral.